This is a long non-coding RNA of Oenanthe melanoleuca, 1184 nucleotides long. RefSeq lists it as uncharacterized. The transcript is spliced from 3 exons. The record is from RefSeq and is a predicted model, not a curated record. Lineage: Eukaryota; Metazoa; Chordata; Aves; Passeriformes; Muscicapidae.
GGCUAAAGAAAAUGAUUUAUGCAGCACCAAGCAUAAGGGGGCCCCAUUCUCCACUGGCUGCUGCUGAUUCUUGCUUUCCAGACUCCUUCUCACAGUCAGCCCUGCUUGCUUCUGGUUCCCAGCCCACCUGUCUUGAGUCAUGUCCACAUCUGGGAUGAACAUGGUUGUAGCCUUGGAAAUAAAGAACAGCUAGAGGAGCCUGCCUUAUGGGCGUCUUGGCAAUCGGGUACACGACUUGCAAGAUGGACUGAGAAUUCCACAGGUGGACUGAUUAGUGGGUGGCAUUUCUGAGCUCCAGCAAGCUGUUAGCAUUAUGUCUGUUUGCUUUAGGUACAGAUGUGAAAUGAUUUGACAGUCAAUCUCAAAGUGUGUGUGAGUACUUGGGCUUUUUUUUUCUUUCUUUUUUUUUUUUCCCUUCUUGGUAUGUCAAAAUCUUCUUAUAAUACAAUCCUCAUCCGUCUGGUUGUCCAUUGAAAAAGCAUCCCCCCCGUACCCCCCUCCUGUAGCCAAUCUGGAUGAGUCAUGCAUUAUUCAGGAGAUAUAAUUUGUAAGUGUCAGAAGUGGCUUUGGUUUUUUUUCCUGUUCGCUCAUUUGAGGACCACAGCUGUCGCGACCAGGAGUCCUUGCCGGGCACGAGGGUUAUCCCACGCAAAGACGAAUUGUUUCCUUCGGGUAACUUGUCCGAAUGCAAGUUUCCUUAACAAAGCCGUAGUCGUAAGCAAAUGGUGUUUGACAAGUGGAAUUUUCUGUUGACUUGCUCAUUUCAUUUCCUUCUUUUGGCAGAAACACUUGGAACUUGAUUUUCUUGCAGUUACUAUGAGCCCAGAAUAAUAACUCCUAAAUCAACACUGAGGAGGUGGAAAGGUACAACAACACAAACACUCAGUAACAGUCAGGACAGCGACAUGGAAAUAUGAGUUGACAUGCAGAAUAACCACAAGUGGUGCAUAAUUUAUUGAUUGCACCUUGUCAUGGGAAUGAUGAGCUCUCAGCUAGAGGAAUUAUAUUUUAUAUAUUUCACAACUUUGGGGAAAAAUAUAAAUAUUAUAUAUACAAACUGCAUAUACACUAACUAAUGGAUAGAGCAAGAUUCCUAUUUCCAGUUAGUGAAAAAAUUAUGUUCAUCACAAGGCAAUGUUUUCUGGAGCCGAGUAAGCCCAGGAGAGGGGAGGCAGGAGGGCGGU